UUAUAAUUGUAGUAUACAUUUUAUAUAACUUGUGAAAUUUCAGCUUUCAAUUGUGUCUUUAUUUAAGAAGCAAAAAUCAUCUCUAAGCAAGCCAUAAUUUAUUAAUUAGGACUAAUUAACAACUAAUUAACUAGGUAAUUAGAGUCUAAUUAACCACGAAUCAAGCCUUAAUAUAUCAGGAAAACGUUGCAAAAUACUUGCAAAUCCAUCGCAAUAUUUGCGAUGGAUUUGUUAGGCAGAAAGAAAAGAAUCGCAAAUCCCUCGCAAUAAUUGCGAGGGAAGUACUAGAACUGUAGUUGCGUGUGUUUUGCGAGGAAAACAGUUUUUCGCAAAAUUUGCGAGGGAAUUGCGACUUUUUACCAUUUGCGAGAAGCAAUUUGCGAGGAACUGGGUUUCCUCGCAAAUCCCUCGCUUUUAGCUGUUUGCGAGGGAUUAGCGAGCAAUUCUUCCCUCGCAAAACGAUUGUUUUCUUGUAGUCUAAAAUAAUACGCAUUGUACUCCUUUUCUCAUUUUUUGCUAUCAUCAAUUUUGUAAAUAUUGACAUAUAAUAUGUUUAAUCGAAGCUCUUGCGACGAAGAGUUCAACUUCACCUUCAAAAUUUUAAAAAUGCAAUGUAUGUGACCGUAAAAAUAUUUAUAAUAUACAUAUAAAGGUCAUAUUGCGUAUUAUUUUAGACUUCACAAUAUUAAUCUGCAUUAGUUAGAGGUGUAGGGUAAAAUUGUAAAAAUGGAUGAGUUAGAGUUUUUUUUUUUGCAGAAAUCCCUUUUUAUUAUUAUCAUUAUAUGUUUGUUUUACUUUGUUAAAGGGCUGAUAAAAUUUUGUAAGAUCUUUUAAUUU
RNAcentral lists this small RNA (837 nucleotides) under Arabidopsis thaliana (thale cress). Its description in RNAcentral is "ATSL044320". Lineage: Eukaryota; Viridiplantae; Streptophyta; Magnoliopsida; Brassicales; Brassicaceae. The record is from RNAcentral.